GAUGAACGCUGGCGGCGUGCCUAAUACAUGCAAGUCGAGCGAACAGACGAGGAGCUUACUCCUCUGACGUUAGCGGCGGACGGGUGAGUAACACGUGGAUAACCUACCUAUAAGACUGGGAUAACUUCGGGAAACCGGAGCUAAUACCGUAUAACAUGUUGAACCGCAUGGUUCAACAGUGAAAGACGGUCUUGCUGUCACUUAUAGAUGGAUCCGCGUCGCAUUAGCUAGUUGGUAAGGUAACGGCUUACCAAGGCAACGAUGCGUAGCCGACAUGAGAGGGUGGUCGGCCACACUGGAACUGAGACACGGUCCAGACUCCUACGGGAGGCAGCAGUAGGGAAUCUUCCGCAAUGGGCGAAAGCCUGACGGAGCAACGCCGCGUGAGGGAAGAAGGUCUUCGGAUCGUAAAACUCUGUUAUUAGGGAAGAACAAAUGUGUAAGUAACUAUGCACGUAUUGACGGUACCUAAUCAGAAAGCCACGGCUAACUACGUG
Molecule: ribosomal RNA, 497 nt
Filed under: uncultured bacterium
Lineage: Bacteria
Description: partial 16S ribosomal RNA
Rfam family: Bacterial small subunit ribosomal RNA
Source: RNAcentral